GACGAACGCUGGCGGCGUGCUUAACACAUGCAAGUCGAACGGAAAGGCCCUGCUUUUGUGGGGUUCUCGAUUGGCGAACGGGUGAGUAACACGUGAGUAACCUGCCCUUGACUUUGGGAUAACUUCAGGAAACUGGGGCUAAUACCGGAUAGGAGCUCCUGCUGCAUGGUGGGGGUUGGAAAGUUUCGGCGGUUGGGGAUGGACUCGCGGCUUAUCAGCUUGUUGGUGGGGUAGUGGCUGACCAAGGCUUUGACGGGUAGCCGGCCUGAGAGGGUGACCGGCCACAUUGGGACUGAGAUACGGACCAGACUCGUACGGGAGGCAGCAGUGGGGAAUAUUGCACAAUGGGAGGAAGCCUGAUGCAGCAACGCCGCGUGCGGGAUGACGGCCUUCGGGUUGUAAACCGAUUUCGACUGUGACGAAGAGUGAGUGACGGUAAUGGGUAAAGAAGCACCGGCUAACUACGUG
RNAcentral lists this ribosomal RNA (468 nucleotides) under uncultured bacterium. Its description in RNAcentral is "partial 16S ribosomal RNA". It matches the Rfam family "Bacterial small subunit ribosomal RNA", at positions 28 to 507 of the family's 1533-position model. The record is from RNAcentral.